Long non-coding RNA from Cephus cinctus (wheat stem sawfly), 393 nucleotides. RefSeq lists it as uncharacterized. The transcript has 3 exons. The record is from RefSeq and is a predicted model, not a curated record. Lineage: Eukaryota; Metazoa; Arthropoda; Insecta; Hymenoptera; Cephidae.
UACCCUGUGAACACUGCAAUAUGUGACGUCAUUGAAGUAUACUGUUGAAGCAUUCCAUUUUCGUUAGCGCCAGUGUUUAUAACUGGUUGGGAAUAAUAUCGGAACGUUUUUCAGUAACUGAUGAAUUUUGAAUUUUAUACUCACAGAAGCAUUUCUUGCAAAUAGGUUAAAUUCUCAAAAUUGCCUAUUGGACCCGAAACAGGAAAUGGAUCUUAUUCGCACAAUUCCUGUUGUUAUCGAAUGGACUUUAGAUUCUUCGACAGAUGAGUCAAGCGACGAAGAUCUUACAAUUUCUCUUAGCUUCUUCUAAAAGUUUUGUGGCAUAGGCAGUAUCUGUAACGGUUAAUAAUUUGUGAAUUGCAAAAAUAAAACAAAGGGAGGCAAUACCAAAAA